UUUUAGCUGGUGAUCCAUGCCAGAAUUCUGCCAUUCCAAAUCGAAACGAUGAAAUUGUUGAUUCACUAAAACGAUUCUGGGACACUGAAUCCAUUGGGAUCACUGAUAACAAACAAGAUUCCCACCAAGAUGACAAAUUUCUGCAAAACAUCCAAUUUACAGGUGAGCGUUACAAAGUGGGACUUCCGUGGAAGGAAGAGCGUCCUAUGCUAGACAACGACUAUGAUUUAUAUUACAACCGACUGCGUUCGUUGUACAGCAAACUAAAGAAACAACCGGAACUACUUCAAGAAUACGAUAAGAGCAUCAAAGAUCAAAUAGAAUUGGGAAUCAUUGAGGAAGUACCUCGUGUGAGUGGAAGCACAAGCAAUAACCAAG
Paramuricea clavata is the source of this 378-nucleotide non-coding RNA. The record is from the annotation of a GenBank genome assembly. NCBI's taxonomy places the organism in Eukaryota, Metazoa, Cnidaria, Anthozoa, Malacalcyonacea, Plexauridae.